CCCUUGGUGAAGCAGUCGUGUCUGCUGCUCUGGCUUUUGUGCCGGCUGGGAGAGACUAGGUCUGGAGUUCCUACGGCUCCUUGAGUUUUCUUCCAGGCUCUUGGCUCACACCUUGCCUACCCCGGGUUCAGUGAAUGGUGAGAUACAGCAAGGCCGGAGCCUCUCUCUGAGUGACGAGCCACCCACGCCUCCCCGCACCGCUCUGCUCCUCCCGCGGCUCCCGGAGGGAAGCCGAGGCGCCGCAGAGGGAGCCCGAGGCGACCCUGGAUCGAACCCCAAGCCUACGAGGUUCCAAGACCCCGGUCACCCGGCCUGUGCGCGCCCGCUCGCUUCCCCGGCCCCGCCGCGCGCCGCAGGAGCCGGGCCGGCCGGCGCUGCGUUUCCAGCCGCGUCUGCCCUAGCGCGGCACGUGCUCCCGGCGCGGGCCUGAGAGCGCGAGCGCCCAGGCCGCCGCGCCGCCUGCCGCUGCCGCCGCCCGCACCGCCGCCGCUAGCGCCCCAGCCGCAGCCCAGGCCGCUCGGCGAGCGCGGGUCGCCGGCUAAGAGCGGCCGGCCGGGGGACGCCGGGCUCCGGGCGCGCACCCGCAGGGAGAAUUGCUGCACACGCCGCCCUCAGCUCUGCUGUUCUGCGCGCACCGAGCGCAGGAGAUGAGCUUAAGAUCAUCUUGGGGCGAGGGGAGCCCGGGACUGGAGAGGCCGACUAUGCCCCGCUGAUCCGCGCGGCCCAACUUUCUGGGGGGCUGGCUAGACCGCGACUCCCUGCCUGCUGCGCCGCCAACAGGGGGUAAGCUUGCGAAGUGUCUGUGUGCCUAGAGGGUCCC
This is a long non-coding RNA of Bos taurus (domestic cattle), 820 nucleotides long. The record is from Ensembl. NCBI's taxonomy places the organism in Eukaryota, Metazoa, Chordata, Mammalia, Artiodactyla, Bovidae.